Molecule: long non-coding RNA, 207 nt
Filed under: Homo sapiens (human)
Lineage: Eukaryota; Metazoa; Chordata; Mammalia; Primates; Hominidae
Description: HSALNT0120592
Source: RNAcentral
UGCUGCCGGGACGCGGAGGCGGGGCCGCCGCCCCCACCUGCUGAUUUCACUGAGUUGGGAUUAAAUCAGUGUAUUCCUCCCACUGCAUAAUUUAGGACUGCUUUAAAACGAUGUAAUUACAAACCUCAAUGGCAGAUUGUGAAUUGCAUUCACUGUCAUAACUGCAGCAAACCAGACAUACAUAGGAGGCACAGCAAAAGACCCAAG